Molecule: long non-coding RNA, 286 nt
Organism: Cygnus olor (mute swan)
Lineage: Eukaryota; Metazoa; Chordata; Aves; Anseriformes; Anatidae
Exons: 3
Source: RefSeq, a predicted model, not a curated record
GAAUCUUUAAUGAAACAGCAGCACAACGUUAAGAAAAACUUCAGUCGCUUGCUUCCUGAGUAAGCAUGGCUGUAGAAAGAAAAACAUAAGGAUCUUGAUUCUGCUCAGCACUGGCCUCAUCUGCUACUGAUGAUUUCUCCUCAAAAAACAUUUAUUUUGGGGUGGGAUAUAGAAGAAUAGACCCAUUGGAAGCCCUGAUGCUUAUUUGACAGGGUUGAUGAGCAGCAAUAGUUACAACUGAAGUCAGUGAGAACUGUGCUGUAGACCACCAAGUGGCUAAAUGAGG